This 1439-nucleotide ribosomal RNA is filed under the name uncultured bacterium. RNAcentral describes it as "partial 16S ribosomal RNA". It matches the Rfam family "Bacterial small subunit ribosomal RNA". The record is from RNAcentral.
AGGGUUUGAUCCUGGCUCAGAACGAACGCUGGCGGCAUGCUUAACACAUGCAAGUCGAACGCUAUCGCAAGAUAGAGUGGCGCACGGGUGAGUAACGCGUGGGAAUCUGCCCUUUUGUCUGGGACAACAGCUGGAAACGGCUGCUAAUACCGGAUACGCCCUUCGGGGGAAAGGUCCGCCGCAGAAGGAGGAGCCCGCGUCUGAUUAGCUUGUUGGUAGGGUAAUGGCCUACCAAGGCAACGAUCAGUAGCUGGUCUGAGAGGAUGAUCAGCCACACUGGGACUGAGACACGGCCCAGACUCCUACGGGAGGCAGCAGUGGGGAAUAUUGGACAAUGGGGGCAACCCUGAUCCAGCAAUGCCGCGUGUGUGAUGAAGGCCUUAGGGUUGUAAAGCACUUUCACUGGUGAAGAUGAUGACGGUAACCAGAGAAGAAGCCCCGGCUAACUUCGUGCCAGCAGCCGCGGUAAUACGAAGGGGGCGAGCGUUGUUCGGAAUUACUGGGCGUAAAGGGAGCGCAGGCGGUUCAACAAGUCGGUCGUGAAAGUUCAGGGCUCAACCCUGAAAUGUCGAUCGAUACUGUUGUGACUAGGAUACGGUAGAGGUGAGUGGAAUUCCGAGUGUAGCGGUGAAAUGCGUAGAUAUUCGGAGGAACACCAAUUGCGAAGGCAGCUCACUGGGCCGCUAUCGACGCUGAGGAGCGAAAGCUAGGGGAGCAAACAGGAUUAGAUACCCUGGUAGUCCUAGCUGUAAACGAUGUGUGUUAGACGUUGGAAAUUUAUUUUCAGUGUCGCAGCGAAAGCAUUAAACACACCGCCUGGGGAGUACGACCGCAAGGUUAAAACUCAAAUGAAUUGACGGGGACCCGCACAAGUAGUGGAGCAUGUGGUUUAAUUCGAAGAUACGCGCAGAACCUUACCAACACUUGACAUGUUCGUCGCGACUCUAAGAGAUUAGAGUUUUCGGUUCGGCCGGACGAAACACAGGUGCUGCAUGGCUGUCGUCAGCUCGUGUCGUGAGAUGUUGGGUUAAGUCCCGCAACGAGCGCAACCCUCACUUUUAGUUGCCAUCAUUAAGUUGGGCACUCUGAAAGAACUGCCAGUGAUAAGCUGGAGGAAGGUGGGGAUGACGUCAAGUCCUCAUGGCCCUUACGUGUUGGGCUACACACGUGCUACAAUGGUAUCUACAACAGGAAGCGAGACGGCGACGUUAAGCAAAUCCUUAAAAGAUACCUCAGUUCGGAUUGCACUCUGCAACUCGAGUGCAUGAAGCUGGAAUUACUAGUAAUCGUGGAUCAGCGUGCCACGGUGAAUGCGUUCCCGGGUCUUGUACACACCGCCCGUCACACCAUGGGAGUUGGUUCUACCUUAAGGCAAGGCUUUAAACCCUUGACCACGGUAUAGUCAGCGACUGGGGUGAAGUCGUAACAAGGUAACCGUA